AAAGACCUCGCGUUAUUGGAGCGGCCGAUAUCUGAUUAGCUAGUUGGUGGGGUAAAGGCUCACCAAGGCGACGAUCAGUAGCUGGUCUGAGAGGAUGAUCAGCCACACUGGAACUGAGACACGGUCCAGACUCCUACGGGAGGCAGCAGUGGGGAAUUUUGGACAAUGGGCGCAAGCCUGAUCCAGCCAUUCCGCGUGAGUGAAGAAGGCCUUCGGGUUGUAAAGCUCUUUCGCAAGGGAAGAAACGAUACGAGCGAAUAACUCGUGUUAAUGACGGUACCUUGAUAAGAAGCACCGGCUAACUACGUGCCAGCAGCCGCGGUAAUACGUAGGGUGCGAGCGUUAAUCGGAAUUACUGGGCGUAAAGCGUGCGCAGGCGGUUUUGUAAGUCAGAAGUGAAAUCCCCGGGCUCAACCUGGGAACU
RNAcentral lists this ribosomal RNA (424 nucleotides) under uncultured bacterium. RNAcentral's name for it is "bacterial SSU rRNA". It matches the Rfam family "Bacterial small subunit ribosomal RNA", at positions 202 to 622 of the family's 1533-position model. The record is from RNAcentral.